Molecule: ribosomal RNA, 254 nt
Filed under: uncultured bacterium
Lineage: Bacteria
Description: partial 16S ribosomal RNA
Rfam family: Bacterial small subunit ribosomal RNA
Source: RNAcentral
UACGAAGGGGGCUAGCGUUGCUCGGAAUCACUGGGCGUAAAGGGUGCGUAGGCGGGUCUUUAAGUCAGGGGUGAAAUCCUGGAGCUCAACUCCAGAACUGCCUCCGAUACUGAGAGUCUUCGAGUCCGGGAGAGGUGAGUGGAACUGCGAGUGUAGAGGUGAAAUUCGUAGAUAUUCGCAAGAACACCAGUGGCGAAGGCGGCUCACUGGCCCGGUACUGACGCUGAGGUGCGAAAGCGUGGGGAGCAAACAGG